UGGGGCGUAGCCAAGCGGUAAGGCACGGGGUUUUGAUCCCCGCAUGCGCAGGUUCGAAUCCUGCCGCCCCAG
This 72-nucleotide transfer RNA is filed under the name Spiribacter salinus M19-40. It matches the Rfam family "tRNA". From Rfam's summary of the family: Transfer RNA (tRNA) molecules are approximately 80 nucleotides in length. Their secondary structure includes four short double-helical elements and three loops (D, anti-codon, and T loops). Further hydrogen bonds mediate the characteristic L-shaped molecular structure. tRNAs have two regions of fundamental functional importance: the anti-codon, which is responsible for specific mRNA codon recognition, and the 3' end, to which the tRNAs corresponding amino acid is attached (by aminoacyl-tRNA synthetases). tRNAs cope with the degeneracy of the genetic code in two manners: having more than one tRNA (with a specific anti-codon) for a particular amino acid; and 'wobble' base-pairing, i.e. permitting non-standard base-pairing at the 3rd anti-codon position. RNAcentral also lists the same sequence under 1 other name. The record is from Rfam by way of RNAcentral. Lineage: Bacteria; Pseudomonadati; Pseudomonadota; Gammaproteobacteria; Chromatiales; Ectothiorhodospiraceae.